This 497-nucleotide ribosomal RNA is filed under the name uncultured soil bacterium. RNAcentral's name for it is "bacterial SSU rRNA". It matches the Rfam family "Bacterial small subunit ribosomal RNA", at positions 346 to 853 of the family's 1533-position model. The record is from RNAcentral.
AGGCAGCAGUGGGGAAUCUUGGGCUAUGGGCGAAAGCCUGGCCCAGCGCCGCCGCGUGGGGGAUGAAGGCCCUCGGGUUGUAAACCCCUUUCAGCGGGGACGAAGCGAAAGUGACGGUACCCGCAGAAGAAGCCCCGGCUAUUUACGUGCCAGCAGCCGCGGUAAGACGUAGGGGGCGAGCGUUGUCCGGAUUUAUUGGGCGUAAAGCGCGCGCAGGCGGCCCGUUAAGUCGGUUGUGAAAACCCGAGGCUCAACCUCGGGCCUGCAUCCGAUACUGGCGGGCUUGAGGCAGGUAGGGGAGAGUGGAAUUCCCGGUGUAGCGGUGAAAUGCGCAGAUAUCGGGAGGAACACCGGUGGCGAAGGCGGCUCUCUGGGCCUGUCCUGACGCUCAGGCGCGAAAGCUGGGGGAGCGAACAGGAUUAGAUACCCUGGUAGUCCCAGCCGUAAACGAUGGGUGCUAGGUGGGGGGGGAUAUCGACCCCUUCCGUGCCGAAGCU